Long non-coding RNA from Pantherophis guttatus, 316 nucleotides. RefSeq lists it as uncharacterized. The record is from RefSeq and is a predicted model, not a curated record. Lineage: Eukaryota; Metazoa; Chordata; Lepidosauria; Squamata; Colubridae.
UUUAGAAUUGGGAGCAAUUCCUUUCUGAAAUCUCAAGAGUGAAUAUAGCAUCGAAGGGCUAUAUUCACAGGACAAAGUAUCAUCCCUUGGUAGGAAGUCAGUGAUGCAUUUCAUCUGAAAAUACUGGCAGUUAACAAGACAGCAAAAGCUGUCCGUGGUAUUCUCAGGAUUCUUCUCCAUCCCCAAAAUUUACUCUGAGGGAGUUGCUGAUUCAUGGAUUAAUUAGAUUUCAGAACUAAUUGAAUUACCUGUUAGAAAUAGCCAAGACUAUUGUGUUAUAACACCUUUUUAAAUUAUGUAUUUGAUGUGUUUUUAA